UGCUGAUAAUGUCUUGUCUGCUUUGAUUUUUCUGUUGACAUUUGCAGGAACAGUUUUAAUUUCAUUCUAACGUAUUCAGUGAAUUGACCUUUCACGGUGCAGUGCUCGACGUGCCCCUCGCUGCCCCCCGUGCAAGGUUUUCAGUGUCCUCAGUGGAAAAACGAAUGGAUUGAUUUUAAUACACAGAGGGUGUCUGGACUGAUUGAAAGCACAACUUUUGGUGGAGCUACAGAAGAGCAGCUGAAACUGGCAGCAGCAGCAACAUGAUCUGGUCUGGAAAUAUGGCAUUCCCUAAAAGCAUUCGGCUUUGCCAUGUGAUCUAAACAUUUGACCAAGUCCCUUUCAGGGGAUGUAUAUAAAAAGGUGUGUGAGCUCUUCCUCUUAUUCCAUGUCAUCCAUACCAACGU
This 407-nucleotide long non-coding RNA is filed under the name Struthio camelus australis. Its description in RNAcentral is "lncRNA (ENSSCUG00000003585.1)". Lineage: Eukaryota; Metazoa; Chordata; Aves; Struthioniformes; Struthionidae. The record is from RNAcentral.